This 253-nucleotide ribosomal RNA is filed under the name uncultured bacterium. RNAcentral describes it as "partial 16S ribosomal RNA". It matches the Rfam family "Bacterial small subunit ribosomal RNA", at positions 524 to 776 of the family's 1533-position model. The record is from RNAcentral.
UACGUAGGUCCCGAGCGUUGUCCGGAAUUACUGGGCGUAAAGCGUGCGCAGGCGGUUAUGUAAGACAGAUGUGAAAUGCCCGGGCUUAACCUGGGAACUGCAUUUGUGACUGCAUGGCUAGAGUUUGGCAGAGGGGGGUAGAAUUCCACGUGUAGCAGUGAAAUGCGUAGAUAUGUGGAGGAACACCGAUGGCGAAGGCAGCCCCCUGGGUCAAGACUGACGCUCAUGCACGAAAGCGUGGGGAGCAAACAGG